RNAcentral lists this non-coding RNA (45 nucleotides) under Schistosoma mattheei. The record is from RNAcentral. Lineage: Eukaryota; Metazoa; Platyhelminthes; Trematoda; Strigeidida; Schistosomatidae.
AUCCAGCUGACGAGUCCCAAACAGGACGGAACAGUAGUCCUGGAU